Rana temporaria (common frog) is the source of this 467-nucleotide long non-coding RNA. RefSeq lists it as uncharacterized. The transcript is spliced from 3 exons. Lineage: Eukaryota; Metazoa; Chordata; Amphibia; Anura; Ranidae. The record is from RefSeq and is a predicted model, not a curated record.
CCACACAGGAAGAUCACACCAUCCCUCACCAUCAUCAGGGUAAUGAACUGAAAGACAUCAAAGCCGGGAUUAAAGAGGAAGAAGACGAAUCAUUAAUAAGUGGAGAUCAGCAGUCUAUGGAGGAGGGAUGUCCUCUGUAUUCCCAGAAUUCCACACAGGAAGGUCACACCAUCCGUCACCAUCAUCAGGUAGAUGGAAAGAACACAAAAGUGACUCUAGAUUGUAUGAAAUUACCCUCUUCUUUCAACCUAUUUUCUGUCACAUUUUUUUUUCUCCUUUGUUGGUUUAGCAUGGAGAACAGUUGUAUGUGAACGAUGAGGUUAAAAAUGAAGAAGAGGAGAUGGCUGUGAUGGGUUAUCAGGAGUGUACAGAGAAAGUUGGGAUGAUGAUAACUAAAAAGGAGGAACCUUUUCUAGAUAGCACAUAUGGAUCCAGUAAUGGGAACCCACCAGAGAGAUGUCCCCGUC